GGCACUUGUAGAUUAUUUAAAUAAAUAAUCCAGGCACAAUAACCACUACAGCUCAGUGUAGUAGUUAUGGUGUCAGUAGUGCCAGGAUUCCACCCCAGAGUAAGUAGUCAUACCGUUUAAGAACAGUUUGACAACUUACCUGGGUCUGCUGGGAUAUAGGGUAUAGGAGCAGUGGUGUGUGUUAAGGGUGAAGUGUGUGAGUGCGGCAGUGUAUGUCAGGGUUGUAGUGUGUGUGUUAGGGGGCAGUGUAUGUAUGGGGGCACUGUAUGUGUUUUUGGGGCAGUGUGUGUAUGGGGGACAGUGUGUGUAUGGGGACAGUGUUUGUGGGGCACUGUGUGUGUAUGGGGACAGUGUUUGUG
This is a non-coding RNA of Pelobates cultripes (western spadefoot toad), 359 nucleotides long. The record is from the annotation of a GenBank genome assembly. Lineage: Eukaryota; Metazoa; Chordata; Amphibia; Anura; Pelobatidae.